This 740-nucleotide ribosomal RNA is filed under the name Microbacterium aurantiacum. RNAcentral's name for it is "bacterial SSU rRNA". It matches the Rfam family "Bacterial small subunit ribosomal RNA", at positions 72 to 826 of the family's 1533-position model. Lineage: Bacteria; Bacillati; Actinomycetota; Actinomycetes; Micrococcales; Microbacteriaceae. The record is from RNAcentral.
AGCCAAGCUUGCUUGGUGGAUCAGUGGCGAACGGGUGAGUAACACGUGAGCAACCUGCCCUGAACUCUGGGAUAAGCGCUGGAAACGGCGUCUAAUACUGGAUAUGAGCUGCGGAGGCAUCUUCGUGGUUGGAAAGAUUUUUCGGUUUGGGAUGGGCUCGCGGCCUAUCAGCUUGUUGGUGAGGUAAUGGCUCACCAAGGCGUCGACGGGUAGCCGGCCUGAGAGGGUGACCGGCCACACUGGGACUGAGACACGGCCCAGACUCCUACGGGAGGCAGCAGUGGGGAAUAUUGCACAAUGGGCGGAAGCCUGAUGCAGCAACGCCGCGUGAGGGAUGACGGCCUUCGGGUUGUAAACCUCUUUUAGCAGGGAAGAAGCGAAAGUGACGGUACCUGCAGAAAAAGCGCCGGCUAACUACGUGCCAGCAGCCGCGGUAAUACGUAGGGCGCAAGCGUUAUCCGGAAUUAUUGGGCGUAAAGAGCUCGUAGGCGGUUUGUCGCGUCUGCUGUGAAAUCUGGGGGCUCAACCCCCAGCCUGCAGUGGGUACGGGCAGACUAGAGUGCGGUAGGGGAGAUUGGAAUUCCUGGUGUAGCGGUGGAAUGCGCAGAUAUCAGGAGGAACACCGAUGGCGAAGGCAGAUCUCUGGGCCGUAACUGACGCUGAGGAGCGAAAGGGUGGGGAGCAAACAGGCUUAGAUACCCUGGUAGUCCACCCCGUAAACGUUGGGAACUAGUUGUGGG